GACACCGAGCAGGAGACGGAGGAAGGGGAGCGGGAGGCGGUGGCGGUUACCCGCGCCUGCACCUGGCUUCAAGCCUCCGAUCCGCCCAAGGCAUCAUAAAUGAUGAAUAUGGGGGCACAUUGUAUGAUGGAUUCCUUGGAGUGCUAAAUGCUACUCCGGGGUUGUCCCAAAUCAUUUAUAGCUUGGCAGGAGUAGCAACAGGCAUCUAUUCUUCACUGUCAGGGUAAAUUACCUUCGGCAGUCUCCACUUUAUAUACCACAUGCUUCUUCAAGCACAGUGAGCAUUUCCUAAUUCCUAUUAUACCGCUUAACAAUAAUCUCGAAGGAGAAGUGCAAUUUCUUUGUCUUCCUUCGUACCAGACAACCCUUCAUAUAGUUAUAUGUAAUUGAAUGUCGUCAAGUUUUGUAUAAGCUGGAAGUUUAUUUUUCUGUUUUCUCAUAGUUUGGGAAGAAAGAGAUGCCUGCUUGUCAAUGGUAGUGAAUCAUGCCCGAUUUAGGUCAAUUUAUGGUUGGAUUUAUCUCACCUACAAAUAUGCUUUCUAUCCUU
Molecule: unclassified non-coding RNA, 547 nt
Filed under: Zea mays
Lineage: Eukaryota; Viridiplantae; Streptophyta; Magnoliopsida; Poales; Poaceae
Description: misc RNA Zm00001eb265230
Source: RNAcentral